This 416-nucleotide long non-coding RNA is filed under the name Bos taurus (domestic cattle). RNAcentral describes it as "long non-coding RNA NONBTAT016875". Lineage: Eukaryota; Metazoa; Chordata; Mammalia; Artiodactyla; Bovidae. The record is from RNAcentral.
CCCACGUUAAAUGUGGAUAUGAAGAAAAUUAACGCAAAGGAGAUGAAUUGAGAUGCUGUAGUCAGUGGAUCUGACAGGCAUGCGGAGUCCAAUCUGCAAGUGGCGUCUAGUCACCCCCGCUUGUGGAUGCCCUCCUGGAGCACUUGGGCCUGAGGUUUCCAGCAGAUGGACUGCCGACCUGUCUCUUCUUUAACCCCACUUUGUAUCUCACAAAUCUGCUCCAGUUCACAUUACUGAUUUGACUACCUGUACUGUCACCAGCCAUGGAUAAUCCCACAUCAGCCUUCUAUAAAACUAUAAAAAUUGAAUAUUCACGAGUUUCUGUUUAUUUUCAAAGUCACUGUUGUGACAGAAGCCUAGUAGUGUGCUUUCAGUGAGGCUGAACACACUGCUAUUAAUAUUUUAUAGCAAUUCAG